GCCUUUCAAAAUUUUUAAUAAACAUGGAAUCUUGCUAUGCUGGCCAGGCUGGUCUUGAACUGCUAGCCUCAAGCGAUCCUCCCUCCUUGGCCUCUCAAAAUGUUGGGAUUAUAGGCGUGAACCACUGUAACCAGCCUCAAGACAGGCUUUCUAAGACACAAGAUUCCGCGUGUCAACUGUAUCCACGGAAACCAUUCCUUAGUUUAUUGUCACCGCCAUUCCUAACUCUGAUGUGAAAAUCCCUGCGUUCAUCAACAUAACCCAGUUAGGGUCGCACUCAUCACGGGGCCCCCAUUGCCUCUGGCGCACCCCACGACUGACAUCUGCGGGGCCUUCGCGCUAGGCUUCGAGUUUCAGCUUCCGCACCAGGCCUGCCUUUCUGCAGGGGCCAGGGUGGGGGUCGUGUGCUGAUUGGGCCCUCUGAACCGCCACCGCUGCAGAGGGGCUGUUCCUUCCGUCACAUCCCUUGUGCCCGAAUCCACCCUGUGUCUUCUCUUUUCUCAGCAGGACAUUUUAAAAGCCCAGACCCCCUCCUUACAGAGCAAAUGUCCAGGCUUCGGAGGUCACUGUCACAUCCCAAGAACCCCCUUCACCAGGUGCCACUCUUGAGACUGGACUGAAGCCCCCUGGAGAGUUCCACUUGCCUUUGUCCUGCUGCCUGAGAUGAGGGCAUGGACAGCCGGGUACAAGACGGGACAGGCAACCUCGCAGUGGUGGUAACCCUGUGCAUGAACCCUGGGCCUGGCACGUGGACCUCCUGUGACCGUCCCCACAGGCCCGUGAGGCUGAGCUUGGCACUGCCCAAGACCACACAGUCCAUGCGCAGUGGAGCUGGGGUCCAGGCUGCCCACCAGGGCAGUGACUGCAAUGGUGGCAGCAGGGGACAGUCACCAUGGUGAGCUCAAGCCAGGCGCUGCACUGACCUUGAGGGAGGGCUCCAUGCUUCCCCUUCCCACAGCUGCAGUGAGGGCUAGGAGAGCAGGGUCGGCUGCAGGCUUGAGUCCUGGGGUGCCUCUGGGCUGACGGGCCCUGCCUGACCUGCUCCUCCAGUGCCCCAGCCCUGCCCCACCCACGUCCCCUCCUCUCACUGCCCCCUGGCCCACUCCGCUGCGGUCUCAGUGCCUUCCCAGGCUGGGCAUCAUCUGAUGGGAGGAAAAUGAGGGCCCCAGACUCUGUGUCAUCCUGGCAGGACCCCUCCCCUCCCAUGGCUUUGAGCCCAUGAGAUGGCCUUGGACAAAGCGGCAAUGGGCCCUUCCUGAGACACAGUGCGGCCAUCUACUGGGAAACUGCCCAGUGUGACUCUGAUGACUGUGAUGUGAAUCCCACAGCAAAGUUGAGCAGUGCGCAACCUGGGCUACUGCACCUGGCAGCCCUGGCUCCUCCUCCUCUGCCUCUUCCUGCUCCUUCAUUCUCCCCCAGAGCUCUAAUUGUCACUGAGAUUUUAUGUUUCGUUUAACAAAUGACUGUCUCCCCGCUUGAACAGAACCUCCAUGGGGGGAGGGAAGAGUGUCUGUUGUAUAAAUAGUUGUAUUUCAGUGCAUAAAACAGUGCCUGCCUCAAA
Molecule: long non-coding RNA, 1561 nt
Filed under: Homo sapiens (human)
Lineage: Eukaryota; Metazoa; Chordata; Mammalia; Primates; Hominidae
Description: novel transcript
Source: RNAcentral